Long non-coding RNA from Habropoda laboriosa, 303 nucleotides. RefSeq lists it as uncharacterized. The transcript is spliced from 3 exons. Lineage: Eukaryota; Metazoa; Arthropoda; Insecta; Hymenoptera; Apidae. The record is from RefSeq and is a predicted model, not a curated record.
AACGAGCUGGGCGGAACUGACAAGUGAUCAUUGUUCUUUCAGAGAAUUCGAAAGGUUGACCGUGAAGUAAUUCUACUUAAAAACGAAAUGCCGGGACCAGGUUGCGACAAGUGCACAGACAAGUGCGAGGACUGCAAGUGUAGCGACCAGUGCAAGUGCUCCGACUGCGGAUGCGGAGGUCAGGCUGACAAAUCAUGCAACUGCAAAUCCUCGUGCAACUGUUGCAAGUAAAACGCUACUAAUUUGACCAACAUCGAGAAUGAAUGUCGCAACAAAAUUGUAGACCAAUGAAAUUUAAAAAUA